CCUACGGGUGGCAGCAGUGGGGAAUAUUGCGCAAUGGGCGAAAGCCUGACGCAGCGACGCCGCGUGAGGGAUGAAGGUCUUCGGAUCGUAAACCUCUGUCAGCAGGGAAGAACGGUCACUGUGCUAAUCAGCAGUGAAUUGACGGUACCUGCAAAGGAAGCACCGGCUAACUCCGUGCCAGCAGCCGCGGUAAUACGGAGGGUGCGAGCGUUAAUCGGAAUUACUGGGCGUAAAGCGCUCGUAGGCGGUAUGUCAAGUCAGGGGUGAAAGCCCCGGGCUCAACGUGGGAACUGCCUUUGAAACUGGGAAACUGGAGUGUGUGAGAGGAUAGUGGAAUUCCAGGUGUAGGAGUGAAAUCCGUAGAUAUCGGGAGGAACAUCAGUGGCGAAGGCGACUAUCUGGCACAUAACUGACGCUGAGGAGCGAAAGCGUGGGUAGCAAACAGGAUUAGAUACCCCAGUAGUC
This 465-nucleotide ribosomal RNA is filed under the name uncultured bacterium. RNAcentral describes it as "partial 16S ribosomal RNA". It matches the Rfam family "Bacterial small subunit ribosomal RNA", at positions 338 to 795 of the family's 1533-position model. The record is from RNAcentral.